Molecule: long non-coding RNA, 381 nt
Organism: Hippocampus comes (tiger tail seahorse)
Lineage: Eukaryota; Metazoa; Chordata; Actinopteri; Syngnathiformes; Syngnathidae
Exons: 3
Source: RefSeq, a predicted model, not a curated record
UUUGUGCCUUGUUGUGUGUGUUACGUCACGCUUUCUCCCACUCAGAGCGUCGGCUCUCUUCCGUGUCUUCUGCCUCCAGCCCCCGCUCUCUGUAGUUACUUUGUAUUUUCGUAGAUCAAGACUUUUACUUUUCAAUGUCGGUGCCAGCACUGCUUCUAGGUCCUAAUUUCGAUCCUCACGUGACAGUGCCUUCCCCUUUCUCAUUAAUUUCCGAAGGCAGCCUACGGUCUCAACCAAUUCGCAGCUCGUGUUUGAACUGUUUCCAUCUGGACUGUCUGGCGCACUGGCGCAUCGUAUCCCCCAUUUGGCACGUACUGGCACUCAGUUUUUGGUGCGCUCGGAAUAAUCGAAUGGCACAUUUCAACAACGCUCUUGAGUUUC